RNAcentral lists this ribosomal RNA (497 nucleotides) under uncultured bacterium. RNAcentral describes it as "bacterial SSU rRNA". It matches the Rfam family "Bacterial small subunit ribosomal RNA", at positions 24 to 518 of the family's 1533-position model. The record is from RNAcentral.
UCAGGAUGAACGCUGGCGGCGUGCCUAACACAUGCAAGUCGAACGAAGCAUAUUUAACGGAGAUUCGUCGAAGCUGGAUAUGACUUAGUGGCGGACGGGUGAGUAACGUAUGAGCAACCUGCCUUUCAGAGGGGGACAACAGUUGGAAACGACUGCUAAUACCGCAUAAUGUAUUUGGGUGGCAUCACCUGGAUACCAAAGGAGCAAUCCGCUGAAAGAUGGGCUCAUAUCUGAUUAGCUUGUUGCGGGGUAACGGCCCACCAAGGCGACGAUCAGUAGCCGGACUGAGAGGUUGAACGGCCACAUUGGGACUGAGAUACGGCCCAGACUCCUACGGGAGGCAGCAGUGGGGAAUAUUGGGCAAUGGGCGAAAGCCCUGACCCAGCAACGCCGCGUGAAGGAAGAAGGUCUUCGGAUUGUAAACUUCUUUUAUGAGGGACGAAGGACGUGACGGUACCUCAUGAAUAAGCCACGGCUAACUACGUGCCAGCCGCCGC